UUCUACUGAGCUGGGGGAAAAGUGGGGUUUUUAUAGGGUACCGAGGUUUUGAAAAGGUGUCCAAUAGUAUUAAUCGGGGUAGAAAGUGACCUAUUGUCUUACAGGGAGAUAAGAGAGGGUCCGAGCGUGGGAGAAGGGUUAUUUUGGCCUAGUCACCAUGACUAGGCAUUUCUGCCCUUAGGCGACUGACCGCCAGAGAGGCCUACCAGGCCUCACGGCUGCAACAGCUCCAGUUGUGUUCUCAGAUAGUCCACAAACUGCAAGAAGUUCUCUGAAGGAAACUGUUUAAUGUUAACAUAACUGCCCUUAACUUCAGUUGUUGGUGGCUGAUAAAACAUUUUCUCUUCAAGCGUCCAGAUUUUAUCUAAAACUGGCUUGGAUAACACUCAAGUUUGUUUUUCUGGACAAUGCCAGACACCUUGACCACACAGGUGAUCAUGUGUGAUAUCAUGUUGUCGUGGUUUGAAGGGAAGUGAGUUUUUUUUUUGGAAGUAGUGGUCAAACCAAUCAGUCUUUAGAUUUGACUAUUGGCACCUUUGCUGGCCACUAAGAGGGUGGACACGCCUCUGAGGACACGAGGGGUUAAAAGCCGGAUUUCCCAGCAGGACUCCCUCUUUCCUGCUCUGCUUUCGGAGAGGGAGCGUCUUCUCCUCUCCCCUGCCUGGGCCUGGGUAGGCCGGGUGGGGGAGGGGAGCAAGGUGGGCCUGGCUGAGCAAGAGAGAAGGUGCCGAGUUGGAGCUGCUUGUGAGAACUGCAGUGUCUGCGAUCGCCUGUGCCUGACCUUGGUGGUGGGAGAUAAAGCUUUUAACUCUUUCUAAGGCAGAAGAGAGUUAUCCCUGGACGCUGUAUUCUCAUAGUUGGUGGUUUUAGAAGAGAGAGAGGACAGCCUGGGACCGAGAGGGUAAUGUGAGAUGGAAAGAAGCCCCUUCGAUUGCCGGAAUGAAGAGGAGUGGCUUAUGAGGCUGGACUUUUCUUGCAUAAUGAUAGCCAUAGACGGACCCUGGACCCUCCUGAUUAUAAAUAAGACUGUGUUUGGGUGGAUGUUUUUGGCUCAAACCCAGAGACGUUUUGGCCUGCUUCGUGGAGCCCCCGGCCCCAGGGGUAAAUGGGGGGGACCUGAGUCCCAAAAUGAGAAGAUGGCUGGUUUUUGGUACUUGGCCAAAACAUCCUUAAAAAGAGCCCUGUUGCAGUGCAGGUCCAUGGACGGCAGUGAGAGUGCCGGACAUGGAAAGGAGGGUGUCACCCUGGCAGACCCUUCCAGGCAGUGCCAUGGGUGACGUGGGAACACGGGAUGGUGGACCUGUGUUUCCUGUGGGGGGAUGGUCUGUGGUGCGAGAGAGACUCCUCUCGUCCUGGAUGGAAUGUGGAUUGUCUGAAUUUUAAAGGAUGAUGGUUUGGAUUAGGAACCCAGGGUUGUUGAGGGAUUAAGCAAGUAGAUGAAGGUAAUGUGCCGGAGUCAACUGAGUGAGCAUGUAUGGAAUGGAAUUGGGGGGAGGAGAAGCAGUGUUUUUGGGAGGUUUUCUCUUCUGCUUUUGGGUGGCUGGGUUUUUCUUUCCUUUUCUAUUGUCCAUUGUUAUGUAAUAUAAUAAAUUGUCUGUCUGUUUCAAGAA
This is a long non-coding RNA of Prinia subflava (tawny-flanked prinia), 1610 nucleotides long. RefSeq lists it as uncharacterized. The transcript has 2 exons. Lineage: Eukaryota; Metazoa; Chordata; Aves; Passeriformes; Cisticolidae. The record is from RefSeq and is a predicted model, not a curated record.